Long non-coding RNA from Xiphophorus couchianus (Monterrey platyfish), 945 nucleotides. RefSeq lists it as uncharacterized. The transcript is spliced from 4 exons. NCBI's taxonomy places the organism in Eukaryota, Metazoa, Chordata, Actinopteri, Cyprinodontiformes, Poeciliidae. The record is from RefSeq and is a predicted model, not a curated record.
UUUGGACCUAAUUUAGUCAACAGAAAGAGUCUAAACUGAGCUGAAAUCAUCUUGGACCCUUCAGAUGGAGGUCAAACCAGGACCGGAUGAGCCAUCCAGAACCAGGAAGGCAUCAUGGUUGGUCUGGUAAACCAUGAAGGCAUCAUGGUUCUGAUACUACAGUUGGAUCAGAACCUUUCCACAGGCUGGAAGAUAGAAACCAAACCUUCCUGUUCUCUGAUGAGACCACAGGCUGGGACAUAAUAAGCAAAGGGGAAGCUUGAACCAUCCUAGCUGUGAGAACUUUGAACCUGAAAGCUGCAGAACUUACUCCAGCAGCGGUCCAGAAGGUUCUGCUGGAGGUCGGGUCCAAACGGAGCAGAUCCUGGUCCUGGUUCUAGUUCUGGUCCUGGUCCUGGUCGUGGUUCUGGUCCUGGUUCUGGUCGUGGUUCUGGUUCUGGUUCUGGUCCUGGUCCUGGUUCUGGUCGGUCCUGAGACAAGCCCGGCCGGGUCUGCAGAACAACCUCAGAGUUCUGUUUUUAUACGACUCGGCGCCGUGAUGUCAGACAUUCUUUGGGUCGCCCAGGUCUUCAUGGCGUCGCCCCGGCAACGCUGUCUCACACACACACACACACACACACCCCCACACACACACACACACACACGCCGGGUCAGUGAUGGGCGUCCAGUCAGAGACAUGGAAAGGAAACGAUGUCCAGAGGUUCAUGAAGGUCCAGAACCAUCUGGGCCGGGUCAGAACCAGAACCAUGCUGGACUGACUCUGUUCCUCCUGGGGAGGGACGACUUCAGGUGGCGGCAGCAUGGUGCUGUGGGACGGAGCUCAAGGCUGGAGGCAUCCAUGAUGAAGAAUCAUCAUCUUCCUCGUCUUCUCAGCCAAUCAGAUCGCCGAUCUCUCCAUGACACUGAUCCUCUCUACCGCUCCAUGACCCCUGACCUUUCCUUAAA